Molecule: ribosomal RNA, 588 nt
Filed under: uncultured bacterium
Lineage: Bacteria
Description: bacterial SSU rRNA
Rfam family: Bacterial small subunit ribosomal RNA
Source: RNAcentral
CCUACGGGAGGCAGCAGUGGGGAAUCUUGCGCAAUGGGGGAAACCCUGACGCAGCAACGCCGCGUGGGUGAUGAAGGCCUUCGGGUCGUAAAGCCCUGUCAGGUGGGAAGAAACUUGUGGAUGUUAAUACCAUCCAUGCUUGACGGUACCACCGGAGGAAGCACCGGCUAACUCCGUGCCAGCAGCCGCGGUAAUACGGAGGGUGCAAGCGUUGUUCGGAAUUAUUGGGCGUAAAGCGCGUGUAGGUGGUCGUGUAAGUCAGAUGUGAAAGUCUUCUGCUUAACAGAAGAAGUGCAUUUGAAACUGCUCGACUAGAGUACGGGAGAGGAGAGUGGAAUUCCCGGUGUAGAGGUGAAAUUCGUAGAUAUCGGGAGGAACACCAGUGGCGAAGGCGGCUCUCUGGUCCGAUACUGACGCUGAGACGCGAAAGCGUGGGGAGCAAACAGGAUUAGAUACCCUGGUAGUCCACGCCGUAAACGAUGGGCACUAGGUGUAGGAGGUAUUGACCCCUUCUGUGCCGAAGCUAACGCAUUAAGUGCCCCGCCUGGGGAGUACGGCCGCAAGGCUAAAACUCAAAGGAAUUGACGG